This 497-nucleotide ribosomal RNA is filed under the name uncultured bacterium. RNAcentral describes it as "partial 16S ribosomal RNA". It matches the Rfam family "Bacterial small subunit ribosomal RNA", at positions 28 to 507 of the family's 1533-position model. The record is from RNAcentral.
GAUGAACGCUGGCGGCGUGCCUAAUACAUGCAAGUCGAGCGAACAGACGAGGAGCUUGCUCCUCUGACGUUAGCGGCGGACGGGUGAGUAACACGUGGAUAACCUACCUAUAAGACUGGGAUAACUUCGGGAAACCGGAGCUACUACCGGAUAAUAUAUUGAACCGCAUGGUUCAAUAGUGAAAGACGGUUUUGCUGUCACUUAUAGAUGGAUCCGCGCCGCAUUAGCUAGUUGGUAAGGUAACGGCUUACCAAGGCAACGAUGCGUAGCCGACCUGAGAGGGUGGUCGGCCACACUGGAACUGAGACACGGUCGAGACUCCUACGGGAGGCAGCAGUAGGGAAUCUUCCGCGAUGGGCGAAAGCCUGACGGAGCAACGCCGCGUGAGUGAUGAAGGUCUUCGGAUCGUAAAACGCUGUUAUUAGGGAAGAACAAAUGUGUAAGUAACUAUGCACGUCUUGACGGUACCUAAUCAGAAAGCCACGGCUAACUACGUG